This 640-nucleotide ribosomal RNA is filed under the name uncultured Bacillota bacterium. Its description in RNAcentral is "bacterial SSU rRNA". It matches the Rfam family "Bacterial small subunit ribosomal RNA", at positions 10 to 649 of the family's 1533-position model. The record is from RNAcentral. Lineage: Bacteria; Bacillati; Bacillota.
AGUUUGAUCCUGGCUCAGGAUGAACGCUGGCGGCGUGCCUAACACAUGCAAGCCGAGCGGGAAAUAAUUAAACGAGAUUUCGGUCAAGUGAAAUUAUGGAGAGCGGCGGACGGGUGAGUAACGCGUAGGCAACCUGCCCCAUACAGAGGGAUAGCCUCGGGAAACCGUGAUUAAAACCUCAUAAUGCCAAAGUAGCACAUGCUAAGUUGGUCAAAGAUUUAUCGGUAUGGGAUGGGCCUGCGUCUGAUUAGCUAGUUGGUAAGGUAACGGCUUACCAAGGCAACGAUCAGUAGCCGACCUGAGAGGGUAAUCGGCCACAUUGGAACUGAGACACGGUCCAAACUCCUACGGGAGGCAGCAGUGGGGAAUAUUGCACAAUGGGCGAAAGCCUGAUGCAGCAACGCCGCGUGAGCGAAGAAGGCCUUUGGGUCGUAAAGCUCUGUCCUUGGGGAAGAAAAAAAUGACGGUACCCUUGGAGGAAGCCCCGGCUAACUACGUGCCAGCAGCCGCGGUAAUACGUAGGGGGCGAGCGUUAUCCGGAAUUAUUGGGCGUAAAGAGUACGUAGGUGGUUAUAUAAGCGCAGGGUGAAAGGCAAUGGCUCAACCAUUGUUAGCCUUGCGAACUGUAUGACUUGAGUGC